UAAGCAUAUCAAUAAGCGGAGGAAAAGAAACCAACAGGGAUUGCCUUAGUAACGGCGAGUGAAGCGGCAAAAGCUCAGAUUUGAAAUCUGGUGCCAUAGAGGCAUCUGAGUUGUAAUCUGUAGAGGAGUAUUCGAGUAUGGCUUUGGCUUAAGUUCCUUGGAACAGGGCGUCAAAGAGGGUGAGAACCCCGUUUGCAGCCUUUGUCUUAUGCUUAUGUGAAUCUCCUUCAACGAGUCGAGUUGUUUGGGAAUGCAGCUCUAAAUUGGUGGUAAAUUCCAUCUAAAGCUAAAUACUGGCAAGAGACCGAUAGCGCACAAGUAGAGUGAUUGAAAGAUGAAAAGAUCUCUGAACAGAGAGUUAAAUAGUACGUGAAAUUGUUGAAAGGGAAGCACUUGCUACCAGACACACUUGCAAUUAAUCAGCCUCCAUUUUUGGUGGUGCACUUGGUUGUAGGUGGGUCAGCAUCAGUUAUAGCGGUAGGAAAAAGACUGUGGGAAUGUGGCUUCUUUCGGGAAGUGUUAUAGCCCAAAGUGUAAUGCUGCCUGCUGUGACUGAGGACCGCGCUUCGGUGAGGAUGCUGGCAUAAUGGUUGUAAGUGACCCGUCUUGAAACACGGACCAAGGAGUCUAACAUCUAUGCGAGUGUUUGGGUGU
This 654-nucleotide ribosomal RNA is filed under the name Paragalactinia benatii. RNAcentral describes it as "partial large subunit ribosomal RNA". It matches the Rfam family "Eukaryotic large subunit ribosomal RNA", at positions 35 to 701 of the family's 3401-position model. Lineage: Eukaryota; Fungi; Ascomycota; Pezizomycetes; Pezizales; Pezizaceae. The record is from RNAcentral.